This 6148-nucleotide long non-coding RNA is filed under the name Nicotiana benthamiana. RNAcentral describes it as "long non-coding RNA (NBEN_LNC006045)". Lineage: Eukaryota; Viridiplantae; Streptophyta; Magnoliopsida; Solanales; Solanaceae. The record is from RNAcentral.
UUUUUGGAUUUUUGACAUAAUACUUCAAAGAAAACUUUUCUAUAACAAGGUACUAAGAGACAAUUGUUAUUUAGAAUACUUAGUCUUAAUAAUUUUUUUUGAUGAUUUGCAAUCUUCAGUACCUUUGAUUACAUAUUAAAAGGCAAAAGUCAAGCUUCCAAUUUGGACAGAGACAAGCUCAAAACAACCAUACGAAAGUUUCCCACUACAACGAAGGGCAGACAUAGGUGCAAGAAAAAGGUUUUAAUUAAAUCCCCUAUGUCAGAAAACACUAGAGCACGAAUAGGGUAAAACCCCCUUUUUUGUCUACACAUGAUUGUUAAAUCUCCUUCAUAUAAAAAGAACUUUUGGUAUAGAGAUAAAGAUGGUUCAAUGAGGCAUUCAUGUAUUUCUUUUAAAUUCUCUUCUCAAAAUGCCCGACUGACCACCACUGUACACAAACCACUAUGGCAAAAUAAGGCAUUGUAAAAAUUGUAAUUGUACACCAACAAGAACGUAGGACCGCAACAGUAAGGAUUCAGCAAGUUACAUAGACCUGAUUGUCAUCAUCUGUCAAAGAAAUUGAGAGCAACCUGCAAAACUGUUAAGAACAGAACUACUACACCGAUAAAUGGACAUAAAUUCAUCACCAAGUACAGAUACUAAGAGAUCGAGGCUCUUGUUGACUUGAGAUGGAAUAAAAGAAUGGUAAGAAGGAGGGCAGACAUAAACGUGAGAGGUGACAUUGCCAUUUACUUCAUAGGACAGUGUCAUAUUAAAAGCCUACACCUACACCUAUCCAUUGGUUUUCUAGCCCAAUCUUCUUCAAGCAUAUAGGCCACUCCAGAAGGACGAAAAAGAAACAAACAGAACUGAACAACUUAACUAACAUAUGGAAAUUGAACUUCAAAGAGGAAACAGUCUUGUUACAUUUUUUCAUAUAGAUUCCCUAACUUCUAUUCACAACGCACCAUAUUCAUAACUUCCAUGUCUAGUGACAAUCCAACUUCAGUCAGUCCAUUAGUUCCAAUCCACAAAAUUGCAGUUGAACCAGUAGAAAUUCAGCUCAAACACUAAUGUCGAUUCCUCUGUCAACACCCCAAGAUUUCAGCAACUAUCAGUUUCCAGAAACCAUGCUCAGGCAGAAUUCAAAAACUCAAGCAAAAAUUUCAGAUGGACAACAGCAAAGUAAUGUAAACUCAGAAACUCAGACUUGUGAUCUCUUCGGUUCGGUCCAACUACUAUCUCAAACCAAGAAGAAUUGAUCAAACUAGCUAACUGAACAGUAUAUUUCCGGCAUGUCACAUAGGGCAGAAACAAUGCAGAGUUGUAAUGAAAGUACAACAGGCUCAAGACUAAUCAAAAGCAGAAUUCAAAACAGGUCAGCAAAUUGCAGUAAGAACUCAAGAAAAAAAAAUUUGCAGCAGCAUCAGUUUCUCUUGAACUUUGAAGUAAAUAUGUUGCAGAUUUGCAGUAGAUAAUAGGGAGUAAACAGAUAGACAAUUUGGCGCAAAUAACCAAUGCAAAACAUGUGUUAAAAUGUUGUCAAGUUGCUGACCCAACCGAGUUCUUGAGUGCAGAUUUACAUCUUUAUUUGUGCAGAAUUUUCUGCUCAAAUAGUGCAAAAACAGGGCACACAAUUGCAAAGUUUCUUACCUCCAAUGCCAACCCAAAAUUGCAAUUUCAGUAGAUCAAACAAUGAUCACAACUGUGGGCAACCUGACUCUAUACCAAUUGAUACCAAAUUAUUGUAACGAAGAACACGGAUGAGAAGCAGAGGAGAAUUUCGAGGUUAAACUUACCAUUUUUGUACACAAGCAGCGAUAUUCAUGUUUAGGCAAUAGUACCUCGCACUAGAGAAAACAACAUAGCAUGGCAUGCAGUAGUAUUUGCAUGACUCUUCAUAUUUUAGCUCAAUUUGUCUUUUAGUUUUCUGAAAAAGCCUUUGAAUCUCAGCCAAUAGAGUCAUUGCUUGGUCAGCUGAUGCGUCGCACAAAUGCGAUAUGUUUUUUAUUGUAGAAUCUUCAACUAAUGCUUAGUUAUUAUUUAGUCCACAUGCCUAGAGCAACCUGGCUCUAUACCAAUUGAUACCAAAUUAUUGGCAUCGAAGAUUUUAGCUGUCAAAACAGCGCUGCAAUUUUGCAAACUGGGCAAAGCAAAAGCAAUUGUAGCAGCAGGUGACCAAAUUGCAGUUAAUACUAAACAAUUACAGACAUAUAAAACUGCAGAACUCAAACACAAUCUCAACUAACACAAAAUUUUGGCAGAUUUAGCUUACAAAUCACAAUUCAAGCAUGCUCAAUCCCUAGUCCAACUGAAUCCCCUCUAUUAAGUCAACGACAACAACAACUAUUAACAACCGGUGAAAACAAGUUCAAACUAGGAGAAUUCCUGCUAUCAAUUUACUCAAAAAACUUCUGCACAAAUAGUGGAAAACUUCAACAAUAUAAGCUUCAGAACUUCGUAGUCUUAGCAUAAACAUAAUUGAUAUUCAAUGCAGGAUUUACUUUUCAAACAUUGCCCCACAAAUAACUCAUAGAUUGAAUUGAAAUGACAAAACAACACUUCCAAAAACAAGGACUGAUCCCAACAGAACUUUCGUCAGCAUAAAAGAAGUUUUGACAAGAGCACUUCAACUCAAACUCCAAAACUUUCAAUAUUAAAGUCCAUUGACACAACUCAAUUCAUAAAAAUUUGAACAAGCAACUUCUGAAUUCUAAUACUAACCUAUGUGACUACAAAUGCAAGAUUUCGCUAAUAUCCCGCGAAGCCAAGAAUCCAAACUCACUAGGAAGACCGGACCCUGUGUGGGUUGUCUACGUAUCACGCCCCGAAAGACGAGAAUCAGGUUUGCGUAGUUUGGACAGAUUGGAUACGGGCGAGAAUUAAAAAAAAAACUAAUUUAGAGAAAAUAUUCUUUUUUUUGCCUUUUCUUGUAAAAUGUUGAAACAUGCAAAAUCUUUUGAAUUUUCUCUUUCCAUUUUUUUUAUUUUUUGAAAAAUAAUAUAAAUUGCAAAGUAUUUUUUGUGAAUUUUUCAUGUAUAUCUUUUUCCCCUUUUUUUUUUUAAAAUGUAACAAAAACAUAAUUAGAUCCUACUUGAUUUAUUUUCACACUUCACCCUCUCUUCCUCUUUUCAUUUUUUCAUAUACCCUCAGCUAUCAUUGGUCCGCCAAAUGACCCUUUUGCCCCUGAAUGAAUGCAACAUGUAGCUCAUAGGAUGCAUCAAGAUGGUCUGUUAUUUUGGGUACACCUGUCCUAGAGGAACCCAACCUCUGUGUUGAGUCCCCUAAGUCAAAUACAUGAUGCAGAUAAGCAUUCCUACUAGGGAUCCGACAUGAGGUUUUGUUAUUCUAAGUUUAAGCCCUGGGUUUAUUGUUCUAAACCGUGUACCCGAGCUGACAACUUGAGUCGAGGAGAGGCUACAUACUGGGGACCCGCAAGAUCAUCCGGCUUAGUAACUUGUCUGAGCCUCUUUCUUAUUUCAAGGUAUGACACUGACAGAAUAGGGUGUCUCGACCAGCGAGCACAUCCCCGAAGAUAAGAAGAGAAGGGUUUCAUAACAAUUUAUAUGUACAGUCCACAUAAUAUUUAAGCGGUAAAACAACUUUUAACACAUUAGGUACAAUUAUGCAAUAAAAUCAGAUAAUAAGGCCAGAUACAACAAUUAUUUUAAAGCUCAAUUUCUUAACCCCUGAACCAGAGAUUCUGGGUUCGAUUCCCCAGCAGAGUCGCCAGAGCUGUCACACCUCCUUUUGGCUACACCCCGGCGAAGGGCGUAGAUAAGGGAGUUUCUCCAAUUAAAGGACAACCGAAACGGGAUUUAUUAUUAAAAUUCACAGUCGCCACUUUGGAGAUUUAUGAUGUACCAAGUCACCAGUUAAAUCCCGAAUCGAGGAAAAGAAUGACUCUGCUUAAUAGUCCGCGAACCAAAAAUCCCAGUAAGGAAUUUUGUUAACCCCGGAGAAGGUGUUGGGAAUUCCCGAGUUCCGUGGUUCUAGCAUGAUCCCUCAACUGUCAUACUUGGAUAGAUUAUCUGAUUUGAAAUAAUUAUAAACCUAUGUGCAAAUUUUGACUUUAACCACUUUUAUUUAAUUUUAAGAACAGAAUCGCAACGUCAUUAAAACAUGUCUCGAACUACGUCACAUAAAUGCAUCCGUGGUUUUUGCACAUUUCAACUUCGUUGGGAUUUGGAUUUGGGUCACAUAAAUGCGCACCUGAAUUUAAGAAAGUAAUAUUAUUAAACACGCGCCUAAAUCAACUACACGUUUGCACUUUGCGAGGGCCAUGUAAUUCGCUAAAUGGCACGCCUCAGAAUCUAUAGAUUAGUUAAAGAUUAAAUAAAGCGAGAGCCGCACAAUUAUCAUUUUUGUUUGGCAUGGCACGCCUCAAUUCUAGGAAAAAAGGUAUUCAACUAGGCUUCGCAGGGCCAUAAGCUAUUUAUAUUAUAUAUUAUGGCACACUUCCAACUAUAUGUACUAUCUUCACCAACCGUAAAUCAUCUAUACUAAUAAAUAAAUAAACUUUAAAUCAACAAAACUGAACAUGGUUAUAAUAGCUUGCACAAUUUUCGUGCCAAUAUACCUUCACUUAUUUCCUCACGACAAAAGGGGAAGUGAGAAGUUCACAACACAACACCACCUAAUGGUAUAUCUCAACCUUUGUCAAUUUGGUUAUUCCAUCAAUACCGAUUGCAACAAUCAAAGAAACCGACUAUGUCUCAAUACAACAUUGAUUAGGGUAGAUUGCAAUCACACACACAUUUCUGCCAUUGUAUCAGAUGCACUUUAGACGAUAAGGAGCUAUUUCAUCAUGAAGGAAAAUAUUUUGUUUAAGCAAGUCUAAUAGAAUAAGAGUUGGGAUAGUAGCAAAAAAACAAUGAUCCAGAAAAGAACUUCACAGACACGAUGCGUUGAUCAUAAGAACCAUGAAAUCAGUCAACUUGAAUCCAAAUGCAACAAUUAGUUCACAGCCAUUUCAUAUCCAUUUAACAAAAGGUUCUCCAUUUUCAAAGGAUUAUUUACAAGAACGUCUGAUUUGGAACACAUAGGACAAACUAGUUUUUCAAACAAGAAAAUCAAACCAAGUUUGGCUACUACGAAAACUUAGCACAAUCACAUAUUAUAUGAUUUAGAACAAAACAUCAUAGCAAAUUUCAGCAGACCUUUGUGUCUCAUUCUACUCAUCUCAAUAUCACUUAAUCAUGAAAAGAUAUUUCGAGUGUAAUCAAAUAAAGGGGAAAAAAGUGGAAAAGGAACCUGUUCCGUGAAACUUUCUUAACAACUGAAUGUAGCAAGCUCAGCUACAAUGUCUAGCUCCGGAAUCCAACUCAUCACUAUAACGCCGAAUAGAGGAAACGAACAGACAUCUACAACUUUGUUGGACGCUGUAUCUCCAAGGCUUCGACUUGGCGUUGAGCAACCAUAGUUCAACCAGGCUACACCAACAAGGCUCACUCGAUGAACUCGACACUUCAAUACCAUGUUCCGAAUAGGUCUCACAAGCGAGCUUCACAAUGGACUCAAAUCAACAGAACCCAGCAUCAGAAUAAAGUUUAAAAACUGAAAUUGCUUUUCAAUUAAUAGAGCUUCAGCAACUAUCAAAACUGAAAAUUGAACUUUCGAUUGAUGAAAUAUUCAGUAAUACACGAGACAGAAAUCGAGCAAGUGUCACAAUGCCAAAUUCGAAACAGCUGAAGCUUGAACCUACAAAUACUAGACAGAUCUCAAACCAUAAACAAAGAGCUACGAUCUUAAAUUGAACCUCGACAAAACCCCAUCGAAUCCAGCCUAGAACUCAGACUUCAACCUCCAGCAGCAAUCACGUGACUCGAACUUGAAAACCUCGAGCCAUCUUUAUUUUUUGCAACCAAAACGGUGUGCGUGCGUGUUUCAGAUUUUGUGUGUCUAUGGUUGUGUCCAAAAUGGUCUAUUGCGGCUAAUUUUGGUUCUCGUGGUCUAGGGUGUGUGGAAGGAGAAGAAGACGGAGAUACGGGUCUUCAAUGGGUGUCAAAGAAGAUUAUGUUUCAGGGGGAAUCAUUUGUAUAUUGGUGUUCUUUGCUGAAGAAGAUGAAGAACGAGAUGGGGGAGGGGUCCUUAGUCCGCAGCUGCGCAGCUCUUUCGUUCAUCUCUCUAUUAGGCGUGUAUAUUUUGUUAUGUGUAUUACGUCUAG